Molecule: ribosomal RNA, 425 nt
Filed under: uncultured bacterium
Lineage: Bacteria
Description: partial 16S ribosomal RNA
Rfam family: Bacterial small subunit ribosomal RNA
Source: RNAcentral
GUGGGGAAUCUUGCGCAAUGGGCGAAAGCCUGACGCAGCCAUGCCGCGUGAAUGAUGAAGGUCUUAGGAUUGUAAAAUUCUUUCACCGGGGACGAUAAUGACGGUACCCGGAGAAGAAGCUCCGGCUAACUUCGUGCCAGCAGCCGCGGUAAUACGAAGGGGGCUAGCGUUGCUCGGAAUUAAUGGGCGUAAAGGGCGCGUAGGCGGACAGCUUAGUCAGAGGUGAAAGCCCAGGGCUCAACCUUGGAAUUGCCUUUGAUACUGGCUGUCUGGAGUUUGAGAGAGGUGAGUGGAACUCCGAGUGUAGAGGUGAAAUUCGUAGAUAUUCGGAAGAACACCAGUGGCGAAGGCGACUCACUGGCACAAUACUGACGCUGAGGCGCGAAAGCGUGGGGAGCAAACAGGAUUAGAUACCCCUGUAGUCC